This 29-nucleotide non-coding RNA is filed under the name Rattus norvegicus (Norway rat). Lineage: Eukaryota; Metazoa; Chordata; Mammalia; Rodentia; Muridae. The record is from RNAcentral.
UACUAGUAAAGAAGAGACUUGGAGAAGGU